Molecule: ribosomal RNA, 460 nt
Filed under: uncultured bacterium
Lineage: Bacteria
Description: partial 16S ribosomal RNA
Rfam family: Bacterial small subunit ribosomal RNA
Source: RNAcentral
CCUACGGGUGACAGCAGUGAGGAAUAUUGGUCAAUGGGCGUAAGCCUGAACCAGCCAAGUCGCGUGAGGGAUGAAGGUUCUAUGGAUCGUAAACCUCUUGUAUAAGGGAAUAAAGUGUGGGACGUGUCCUGUUUUGUAUGUACCUUAUGAAUAAGGAUCGGCUAACUCCGUGCCCGCAGCCGCGGUAAUACGGAGGAUCCGAGCGUUAUCCGGAUUGACUGGGCUGAAAGGGUGCGUAGGCGGCCUUUUAAGUCAGCGGUGAAAGUCUGUGGCUCAACCAUCGAAUUGCCGUUGAAACUGGGAGGCUUGAGUAUGUUUGAGGCAGGCGGAAUGCGUGGGGUAGCGGUGAAAUGCUUAGAUAUCAGGCAGAACCCCGAUUGCGAAGGCAGCCGGCCAAGCCAUGACUGACGCUGAGGCACGAAAGCGUGGGGAGCAAACAGGAUUAGAUACCCGGGUAGUC